RNAcentral lists this ribosomal RNA (524 nucleotides) under uncultured bacterium. RNAcentral describes it as "bacterial SSU rRNA". It matches the Rfam family "Bacterial small subunit ribosomal RNA", at positions 95 to 606 of the family's 1533-position model. The record is from RNAcentral.
GUGGCGAACGGGUGAGUAACACGUGGGAAAUCUGCCUAAGAGUGGGGGAUAACAUUCGGAAACGGAUGCUAAUACCGCAUAUAUUCUUGAACCGCAUGGUUCUGGAAAGAAAGACGGCUUUGCUGUCGCUUUUAGAUGAUCCCGCGGCGUAUUAGUUAGUUGGUGGGGUAAUGGCUUACCAAGACCAUGAUACGUAGCCGACCUGAGAGGGUGAUCGGCCACACUGGGACUGAGACACGGCCCAGACUCCUACGGGAGGCAGCAGUAGGGAAUCUUCCACAAUGGGUGCAAACCUGAUGGAGCAAUGCCGCGUGAAUGAAGAAGGUCUUCGGAUCGUAAAGUUCUGUUAUUAGAGAAGAACAAGUCGAGGAGUAACUGUCUCGACUUUGACGGUACCUAACCAGAAAGUCACGGCUAACUACGUGCCAGCAGCCGCGGUAAUACGUAGGUGACAAGCGUUGUCCGGAAUUAUUGGGCGUAAAGGGAGCGCAGGCGGUUGGAAUAGUCUGAUGUGAAAGCCCACG